RNAcentral lists this ribosomal RNA (524 nucleotides) under Rhizobium sp. Its description in RNAcentral is "bacterial SSU rRNA". It matches the Rfam family "Bacterial small subunit ribosomal RNA", at positions 94 to 653 of the family's 1533-position model. Lineage: Bacteria; Pseudomonadati; Pseudomonadota; Alphaproteobacteria; Hyphomicrobiales; Rhizobiaceae. The record is from RNAcentral.
AGUGGCAGACGGGUGAGUAACGCGUGGGAACAUACCCUUUUCUACGGAAUAGCUCUGGGAAACUGGAAUUAAUACCGUAUACGCCCUACGGGGGAAAGAUUUAUCGGGGAAGGAUUGGCCCGCGUUGGAUUAGCUAGUUGGUGGGGUAAAGGCCUACCAAGGCGACGAUCCAUAGCUGGUCUGAGAGGAUGAUCAGCCACAUUGGGACUGAGACACGGCCCAAACUCCUACGGGAGGCAGCAGUGGGGAAUAUUGGACAAUGGGCGCAAGCCUGAUCCAGCCAUGCCGCGUGAGUGAUGAAGGCCUUAGGGUUGUAAAGCUCUUUCACCGAUGAAGAUAAUGACGGUAGUCGGAGAAGAAGCCCCGGCUAACUUCGUGCCAGCAGCCGCGGUAAUACGAAGGGGGCUAGCGUUGUUCGGAAUUACUGGGCGUAAAGCGCACGUAGGCGGAUAUUUAAGUCAGGGGUGAAAUCCCAGAGCUCAACUCUGGAACUGCCUUUGAUACUGGGUAUCUUGAGUAUGGAA